GGAAAUGGGCGCGUGUCCAAAAGGAGGACCUUGAAAUGUCUGACCAUCUUAAAAAAAUAAAAUAAAAAAUCUUAAAUGAUUGUAGGUUUUUUUUUUCCCCCCUCUGAUGAAUUCCAUCUCUUAAUUUCUUAAUCAAAAGGAACGUCGGGCUCAGCAUUCUUGCUGGCAAUCGUGUCCAUUAAUCAAUUUGAGGCCAUUAGCGAUAACGCAAUGGAGCCAUUGAGCACCCGUUGCCAUUGUGGCGCAGCUACCGCCGUUCCCUAAUUAACGUCGCUAUCUCCUGGCUGCCGUGUUCACACGGAGUUAAGGGCGAGCCAAGGCCACCCGAACUCCAUAAAAAUGCAAAUCUCAGCAACGUAAAAUCCCGCCGCAAAGCUGGACGUGAUUAAAUGUCUCCGUGUUGCGUACUAUUUGUGUUGCUGUGUCAAGAGGAGCUGGGGGUGGGGGGGGGAGAAAGAAAAAAAAUUUGGGACCACAAAUGUGUCCCGUUCAUAGGGCCCGGUGGAACGUCAGGGUGCGUUCUCGGCAAAUUCUCCCAGCGAAUGGAAUCGAACGGUGGCCUCACAAAAGCGCCUCUUGGACUUUGGACUAUCUGCUGCUUGGACAUUCCCGACACUCUAAAGUUCAGCCAAAGUUUUUCAAAAUUCUAUCUGCAUCGAUCUAGCAUUUCAGAGGAAAGCGAGGUUCCUCUUUGGGUAGCGAGCUGCCAUUUCAGCGGGUAACCAAGGCAACCGUCCCGGUCGAUGGACACAUCAUACGCAACGCCCCUUUUUUUUAUACCUCAGGGGGUAACGGAGCUAACGCCGGUGGAUGGCUAACGGCCUGAUGCAAAGUUUAUGACGGCGGCGGAUGCCGUCGCGUCGGCACGUCGCCGAAAUAAAAACCAUGGUGCACUUUGGCUAACCCCGAAUCUUCCUGAAUGAUUUAUGACUCCGUGGGGGUGGGGGGCGGGGGGCGCUGCGGUCGGUCGGCGCUUUUAGUGGCCACCGGCGAGGCCUCGUGGGGACUCAUCGUAUCAUCGCCCCCCCCCCCCCCCCCACCCCCCACCUCCACCCCAGACGGCUUGGCACAUUGCACCGUCCUCAUUUUCUUUUGACGUCAACAAUUUGCAGCUGACGAGUCGCGACGGUCAAAAUAUAUAAGCUUGACCCGCAACGCUAGGUGGCUAAGCGUUAGCAUUAAUGAUGCCGAUAAUUGCAUCGGUUAAGGAAGUUUUAACGUAACCUUAACGUAUGACACAUUGUUGUCGGAAGAGUGGGGG
Long non-coding RNA from Hippocampus zosterae (dwarf seahorse), 1261 nucleotides. RefSeq lists it as uncharacterized. The transcript is spliced from 2 exons. NCBI's taxonomy places the organism in Eukaryota, Metazoa, Chordata, Actinopteri, Syngnathiformes, Syngnathidae. The record is from RefSeq and is a predicted model, not a curated record.